UACGUAGGUCCCGAGCGUUGUCCGGCUUUAUUGGGCGUAAAGCGAGCGCAGGUGGUUUAUUAAGUCUGGUGUAAAAGGCAGUGGCUCAACCAUUGUAUGCAUUGGAAACUGGUAGACUUGAGUGCAGGAGAGGAGAGUGGAAUUCCAUGUGUAGCGGUGAAAUGCGUAGAUAUAUGGAGGAACACCGGUGGCGAAAGCGGCUCUCUGGCCUGUAACUGACACUGAGGCUCGAAAGCGUGGGUAUCGAACAGG
This 252-nucleotide ribosomal RNA is filed under the name uncultured bacterium. RNAcentral describes it as "partial 16S ribosomal RNA". It matches the Rfam family "Bacterial small subunit ribosomal RNA", at positions 524 to 776 of the family's 1533-position model. The record is from RNAcentral.